This 240-nucleotide ribosomal RNA is filed under the name uncultured Lactobacillus sp. RNAcentral describes it as "partial 16S ribosomal RNA". It matches the Rfam family "Bacterial small subunit ribosomal RNA", at positions 122 to 354 of the family's 1533-position model. The record is from RNAcentral. Lineage: Bacteria; Bacillati; Bacillota; Bacilli; Lactobacillales; Lactobacillaceae.
UAACCUGCCCAAGAGAUCGGGAUAACACCUGGAAACAGAUGCUAAUACCGGAUAACAACAGAUGAUGCCUAUCAACUGUUUAAAAGAUGGUUCUGCUAUCACUCUUGGAUGGACCUGCGGUGCAUUAGCUAGUUGGUAGGGUAACGGCCUACCAAGGCGAUGAUGCAUAGCCGAGUUGAGAGACUGAUCGGCAACAUUGGGACUGAGACACGGCCCAAACUCCUACGGGAGGCAGCAGGC